This 377-nucleotide unclassified non-coding RNA is filed under the name uncultured bacterium. RNAcentral describes it as "contains 16S-23S intergenic spacer region". The record is from RNAcentral.
UCCGGUUUGUCACCGGCAGUCUGAAGUGAGUCCCCAACUUAAUGCUGGCGACACUUCGCGGGGGUUGCGCUCGUUGCGGGACUUAACCCAACAUCUCACGACACGAGCUGACGACAGCCAUGCAGCACCUGUCUCCAGGUUCCCGAAGGCACCCCCACAUCUCUGCGGGGUUCCUAGGAUGUCAAGACCAGGUAAGGUUCUUCGCGUUGCAUCGAAUUAAACCACAUGCUCCGCUGCUUGUGCGGGUCCCCGUCAAUUCCUUUGAGUUUUAGCCUUGCGGCCGUACUCCCCAGGCGGGGCACUUAAUGCAUUAGCGCCGGCACGGGGGGAGUCGACACCCCCCACACCUAGUGCCCAUCGUUUACGGCGUGGACUAC